RNAcentral lists this unclassified non-coding RNA (366 nucleotides) under Hevea brasiliensis (rubber tree). The record is from RNAcentral. Lineage: Eukaryota; Viridiplantae; Streptophyta; Magnoliopsida; Malpighiales; Euphorbiaceae.
GCCAUUUAGUACAAACGGAAGUAAGUUAUACAAUUUUUGAAAUAGAGCAGAUGAACUAGUACUCAAUAGCUUUAUUAAGAAAAUUACAUCAAUGAACAGACUAACAAAAGAAGUUGACACAGUAAUUGCACAUCAAAAUGCAACUGCGGAAUGCCAAAAAGAAGAAAGGGACAAAAAAGGACUCGUGCAAACGCAUAUAAUACAGUAUAACUUAAACACUGACAACAAACAAAUAAUGCAAAGACUUACACAGACUUGGAUGGCCAAGACUAACGUGUUUGUUAUGAAAUUAAUAACAAGCACAUAAUGUGAAGGCUUAUGCACCCUUGGAUGGCCAAGAUGCUUGAGCUGACAUGAUAAUUCCCA